RNAcentral lists this ribosomal RNA (200 nucleotides) under uncultured bacterium. RNAcentral's name for it is "partial 16S ribosomal RNA". It matches the Rfam family "Bacterial small subunit ribosomal RNA", at positions 29 to 225 of the family's 1533-position model. The record is from RNAcentral.
AGUGAACGCUGGCGGUAGGCCUAACACAUGCAAGUCGAACGGCAGCACAGUAAGAGCUUGCUCUUAUGGGUGGCGAGUGGCGGACGGGUGAGGAAUACAUCGGAAUCUACCUUUUCGUGGGGGAUAACGUAGGGAAACUUACGCUAAUACCGCAUACGACCUUGGUGAAAGCAGGGACCUUCGGGCCUUGCGCGGAUAGA